CAGAAUCUCUGUGUUCAUGUGUAGCAAAAUUAGUGGGUCAAAAGUUGCUUGAUUCACCCACAUGUGUAGUGAGAAGUAUCUCCAUACCAUACACCCCCAACACAUACAGGUGGAUAAACGAGGUUGGUCGAACCGGUACUUUUGAAUGUUGAGACUGACUUAAUGUUUUUAGUAUGAUUAAGAAAGUUAUAAUCUUAUUUUUUUAGUAUGAUUAAGAAAGUCAUAAUCUUAUUUUUUAAAAAAUAAAAACAGUUAAACAAGUGUAGAGAAUUUACUAAUAAAGCAUAAUCUAGAUCAAACCAUUUACUAAACGGGUCAACCCAAUUAUGCUAAUCACAUUCUGAAUUAUGGAAAUCUACCACAAAAACAAGACUAUUGCAUUAAUAAUUUAAAUCUUUGACUUAAAAGUUUAGAAAUUGAGGAUGGGUUGUAUGCAUUGAAAGCAAACUAUUUCAACCUGUUUGACCCGUUUAAAAAAGACAACCCAAAUUAACCCAUUCAUAAGUAAACAGGUUCUCAACUACUGUUUCUAAACAAAAUAAUAUUAACAAUUUUCGUUAAUAUAUUCUUUAAUUUCAUGCUAGCCGUGGAUUUGGUUAUGAUGUUUGAUGACUUGCUGUACGGUUUGGAGAUUAGGUUUUUGUAAUUUCAUCAAUAAUUGAGGUUUCUUAGUAUAUUUGUUGAUAUUUAACGAGUUUUACGUUGCGGAUUUUGUUAAUAUGUCUGUUAAUUUCAUGUUAGUUGUGGAUUUAUUUCUGAUAUUUGAUUAUAUACUGUACAGUUUGGAGAUUAGGAUUUCGUAAUUCCAUCUAUAAUGUGGAAUUCUCCGUUAAUGUGGGGCAAUAAGUAUGUGUGCAGAAAAAUAACUGCAGUUAUUGGGGGGGGGGGGGUAUGUUAAAAAAAACUGUCGUAUAGGGGUUUUAUUGCUUAAAAAGAUGAGAAACAUGUUUUUUAAAAUAAGAACGUUAUAGGUUAACCGGACUGUUUUUUUUUUCAUUCAGUUUAAAAAUUGGUUUUUAGUCAGUGACCCAGAACCGGGUAUCAAACCGGCGGGGCAGGUUUCGAACCGAACCGGUUACAAAAAAACCAGUUUUUAAAUUAACUGGUUUAGUUUUUUUUGCGAUUUCGGUUUUAUAACCGGUUUUUUUGUACACCUCUAUUUGAAACUGGAAGCAAAAUCCCGGGGAUGGAGUCGAAGGAACGGAUUGUGGUCUGCUUUUUGGUAUUCCGGGAUCUCAUUUAGUUUCUAAUUCAUGAGAUCAGUGGGCUUGGCUUCUUGAUGAUUCGGCGAAGCAUCGGAGAUGGCUGAGCUUAUUUUUGUGGUGUGGAUUUUCGCAAGCGGUUUGGGUGGUAGUGGCACAAUGGUGUAACCUCCCUCCCAUUUUCGCCUUCAACAUCAAUGACCUGUUGGACUUGAAUGUUUACGCCAAUGGGUCGUUUAAAUACAAGAAGGGGUUGCAUGUUGCGUGUUUAACGACUUUUUGGUGUCUGUGGAAAGCUCGGAACGUUGUGUUUGUACAAGUCCCGUGCUCGGUUCAGAAAACAGUAGAAGACAUCAAUGCUCUGAGUUUUAUGUGGCUCUGGCACAUGUCUAAGCAGCCAAACAUCAGCUGGGAGAUUUGGAAUGGAUUUAAACUGCACAAACCGGGAUCAUAGUUUUGUAGUUUUUAUUAAUAUGUGGCUCUGUUUGUUUGUUAAUUUGGUGGACUAUUAGUGUCAUGGUGGAUUGCAAAUCUGGUUAUGAGACUAGGCUUUUCUUGUAUCAUGUUAUUUAACCUCUUUUGAAGAACAAUACAUUCCUAAUUUUCUUAA
This is a long non-coding RNA of Helianthus annuus (common sunflower), 1812 nucleotides long. RefSeq lists it as uncharacterized. The record is from RefSeq and is a predicted model, not a curated record. NCBI's taxonomy places the organism in Eukaryota, Viridiplantae, Streptophyta, Magnoliopsida, Asterales, Asteraceae. The transcript has 2 exons.